GGGGGAUUAGCUCAGCUGGCUAGAGCGCCUGCCUUGCACGCACGAGGUCAUCGGUUCGACUCCGAUAUUCUCCA
This 74-nucleotide transfer RNA is filed under the name Limnoraphis robusta CCAP 1446/4. RNAcentral's name for it is "tRNA-Ala". It matches the Rfam family "tRNA". Rfam says of the family: Transfer RNA (tRNA) molecules are approximately 80 nucleotides in length. The record is from RNAcentral. Lineage: Bacteria; Bacillati; Cyanobacteriota; Cyanophyceae; Oscillatoriales; Sirenicapillariaceae.